RNAcentral lists this ribosomal RNA (253 nucleotides) under uncultured bacterium. RNAcentral describes it as "partial 16S ribosomal RNA". It matches the Rfam family "Bacterial small subunit ribosomal RNA", at positions 524 to 776 of the family's 1533-position model. The record is from RNAcentral.
UACGAAGGGGGCUAGCGUUGCUCGGAAUCACUGGGCGUAAAGGGCGCGUAGGCGGGCUGACAAGUCUGGGGUGAAAUCCCGCGGCUCAACCGUGGAACUGCCUCAGAUACUGUCGGCCUCGAGGGAGGUAGGGGCAUGCGGAACUGUAGGUGGAGCGGUGAAAUGCGUUGAUAUCUACAGGAACUCCGGUGGCGAAAGCGGCGUGCUGGACCUCUUCUGACGCUGAGGCGCGAAAGCUAGGGGAGCAAACGGG